GAUGAACGCUGGCGGCGUGCCUAAUACAUGCAAGUCGAGCGAACAGACGAGGAGCUUGCUCCUCUGACGUUAGCGGCGGACGGGUGAGUAACACGUGGAUAACCUACCUAUAAGACUGGGAUAACUUCGGGAAACCGGAGCUAAUACCGGAUAAUAUAUUGAACCGCAUGGUUCAAUAGUGAAAGACGGUUUUGCUGUCACUUAUAGAUGGAUCCGCGCCGCAUUAGUUAGUUGGUAAGGUAACGGCUUACCAAGGCAACGAUGCGUAGCCGACCUGAGAGGGUGAUCGGCCACACUGGAACUGAGACACGGUCCAGACUCCUACGGGAGGCAGCAGUAGGGAAUCUUCCGCAAUGGGCGAAAGCCUGACGGGGCAACGCCGCGUGAGUGAUGAAGGUCUUCGGAUCGUAAAACUCUGUUAUUAGGGAAGAACAAAUGUGUAAGUAACUAUGCACGUCUUGACGGUACCUAAUCAGAAAGCCACGGCUAACUACGUG
RNAcentral lists this ribosomal RNA (497 nucleotides) under uncultured bacterium. RNAcentral describes it as "partial 16S ribosomal RNA". It matches the Rfam family "Bacterial small subunit ribosomal RNA", at positions 28 to 507 of the family's 1533-position model. The record is from RNAcentral.